Molecule: ribosomal RNA, 292 nt
Filed under: uncultured bacterium
Lineage: Bacteria
Description: partial 16S ribosomal RNA
Rfam family: Bacterial small subunit ribosomal RNA
Source: RNAcentral
GUUACAGCAGCCGCGGUAAUACAGAGGUCCCAAGCGUUGUUCGGAUUCACUGGGCGUAAGGGGUGCGUAGGCGGUCGGGUAAGUCUGACGUGAAAUCUCCAAGCUCAACUUGGAAAUGGCGUCGGAUACUACUCGGCUUGAGGAGUGGAGGGGAGACUGGAAUUCUCGGUGUAGCAGUGAAAUGCGUAGAUAUCGAGAGGAACACCAGUGGCGAAGGCGAGUCUCUGGACACUUCCUGACGCUGAGGCACGAGAGCCAGGGGAGCAAACGGGAUUAGAAACCCUCGUAGUCC